RNAcentral lists this long non-coding RNA (468 nucleotides) under Physcomitrium patens. Its description in RNAcentral is "long non-coding RNA (PPAT_LNC004419)". Lineage: Eukaryota; Viridiplantae; Streptophyta; Bryopsida; Funariales; Funariaceae. The record is from RNAcentral.
UUUGAUUAGGAUUUGAUUUAGGAUUGGUUAAGAUUUGAUUUAGGAUUAGGAUUUGGUUUAGGAUUUAGGGUUUAGUUAGGAUUUGAUUUAAGAUUAGGAUUUGAUUAGGAUUUGGUUUAGGAUUUAGGGUUUGAUUUAGGAUUGGUUAGGAUUUGAUUUAGGAUUUAAGGUUUGAUUAGGAUUUGAUUUAGGGUUUAGGAUUUUAUUUGAGUUUGUUUAGGAUUUAAGAUUUAAUUAGUUUUUGGCCUGAAAUUUGAAUAAAGUUCAACAUGAUUUUAACUAGGAUUAAAUUAAGAUUGAAUUAAGAUGUAUUUGAGAUAUAUUUGUGAUCAUUCUAAUAUAUCUUUAAGAUUUCUUAUUUUUUCUUUAUAAUUCCUUUGAGGUUUCUUUGAAUUUGAUUAAAGCAUGCUUAGCAUUAUUAUGAUCUAAUUAGAGUUUAGUUAAUAUUCUAUUAGAAUUAGGAUUUUA